GCGGUAAUUCCAGCUCCAAGAGCGUAUAUUAAUACUGCUGUAGUUAAAACGCCCGUAGUAUACCUAAGAGUGGGUGUGUAGUAAUUAGUUUUACCAGAGGACGGUUGGCGAGAGUUUAUCACUCUUGUUUGCCUACUUUUGGUAGACUUUAGUCGGGCUGGAUCUUUGGUCCUCGUCUGACAGUUGCUACGUACUUACUUACCACGGUUCAUCCGUGAGGCCCUUGGCUUGCAACUGUAAAUAAAUCGUUGUGCUUAAAGCGGGCUAUGAUACUCUGCCAGAGCGAUUUAGCAUGGGACUGCAGAGUAGCUGUAUUUGGGUGAAGGUUGUACUUCGGUAUGGCUGGAGCUUGGUACAGCGCUUGUAAUGGAGCUCAGGGUGAGGCCCCGGGUACCAUGAGGCUAGAGGUGAAAUUCUGAGACCCUCAUGUGACCAACUAAGGCGAAAGCUGUCGUGGGCCACCACAAGCUCGUCUAUCAGGGACGAAAGUUGGGGGAUCGAAGACGAUUAGAUACCGUCGUAGUCCCAACUAUAAACGAUACCAACCGAGUAUUUGGGAAGACACUAUCCCAGCGAUCUUCUCAGAACUCAAGGGAAACCUUAAGUCUUUGGGUUCUGGGGGGAGUAUAGUCGCAAGACCGAAACUUAAAGGAAUUGACGGAAAGGCACCACCAGGAGUGGAGUCUGCGGCUUAAUUCGACUCAACACGGGGAAACUCACCAGGUCAGGACACAAGUUUGAUUGACAGGUUAAUAGCCCUUUCUUGAUUGUGUGGUGGGUAGUGCAUGGCCGUUUCCAGUUCGUGGAGUGAUCUGUCUUGUUAAUUCAGAUAACGAACGAGACCUAAGCCUUUAACUAGCCGUAGGCCUUUUCCUUCGGGGAAGGGUUAGUUUGUCGGAACAGGUUUCGGCCUGUUCCAAAACCUACGAGACUUUUGUCAGCUUCUUAAAGGGACUUCAUUCGUAAACUAGGAUGAGGAAGUAUUUAGGCCAUAACAGGUCUGUGAUGCUCUUAGAUGUCCUGGGCUGCACGCGUACUACAAUAACGGUACCAGCGAGCGCUAUGGUUUUAUAACCCCUUAUCCUAAUAGGAUUGGGAAAACUUUUCAAACACCGUUAUGACAGGGAUCGAGGAUUGGAACAUCCUCGUGAACGAGGAAUUCCUAGUAAGCGUGGUUCAUCAUACCACAUUGAUUACGUCCCUGCCUUUUGUACACACCGCCCGUCGCUCCUACCGAUGGGACGAAGAGAUGAACCUGGCGGACCGAACCGCAAGGUAAGGGAAACCAGUUAAAU
RNAcentral lists this ribosomal RNA (1295 nucleotides) under Naegleria sp. F1-25. Its description in RNAcentral is "SSU rRNA". It matches the Rfam family "Eukaryotic small subunit ribosomal RNA", at positions 576 to 1764 of the family's 1831-position model. The record is from RNAcentral. Lineage: Eukaryota; Heterolobosea; Eutetramitea; Acrasida; Naegleriidae.